GUUCACAGCAGAAGAUAUAGCAAGCUCGGUACAACAGAUAUUCAAUUUUAUUCAUGCAAACAGCAGCAUGUGAUAUAAUAUAAGACCCAAAAACAAAGGCUGAUCUGUUAUAUGUAUUUCCACAUAUAGAGAGAUCCCUCUAUGGAUCCUUUCAGUACUUUUUUUCCCCUUAUAUAUGGAAUCGAUUAUUUAAAACUGACACUCACUUCAAUUGUUUAUGAAUAAGUUGUCAUGAAAGAAAAGUGAGAAUACUGUAAUAAUUUUGGAAGAUAGUGAUUAAUAAAAUUAUUUGAAACAAUCAAUAAAAAUAAUUUACGGGCUUUUUAAUGACUUUUUCGCCAGAUAAAAUGUUAUUCUAUUGCUUAAAG
This 368-nucleotide unclassified non-coding RNA is filed under the name Hevea brasiliensis (rubber tree). The record is from RNAcentral. Lineage: Eukaryota; Viridiplantae; Streptophyta; Magnoliopsida; Malpighiales; Euphorbiaceae.